AUGCCCCAAAAUACCUCAAAAAUUGUCCGAAAAAAUACCCCAAAAACUGCCCUUAAAUCAAUCCCAAAAAUGCCCCAAAUACCCCAAAAAUCGCCCCAAAAUCAACCCCAAAAACACCCCAAAAAAAUGCCCCAAAAAUCCCCCAAAAAUAAAAAAAAAUCCCCAAAAAAUCCCAAAAAAUCCCCAAAAAAAUCCCCACAAAAAUCCCCAAAAAAUCAAAAAAAAAUCCCAAAAAAUUCCAAAAAAUCCUCAAAAACCCCCAAAAAAUCCCCAAAAAAUCCAAAAAAAAAUCCCAAAAAAUCCUCAAAAAUUCCCAAAUUCCCCAAAUUUUCCCAAAAUCCCCCCAAUUCCCGCCUUCCCCUCCCCCUCACCUGGCACUCCGGGCUCUCCCAAAAAUCCCAUAAAAAAUCCCAAAAAACCCCAAAAAUUCCCCAAAAAAUCCCAAAAAAAUCCCCCAAAAAUAAAAAAAAAAUCCCCAAAAAAAUCCCAAAAAUUCCCCAAAAAAUCCCAAAAAUUCCCCAAAAAUCCCCCCAAAAUUCCCAAAAAAUCCCAAAAAAAUCCCCAAAAAAUCCCAUAAAAAAUCUCAAAAAAUCCCCCAAAAAUCCCCAAAAAUUCCCAAAAAAAUCCCCAAAAAUUCCCAAAAAAUCCCCACAAAAAUCCCAAAAAAUCCCCAAAAAAUCCCCAAAAAAUCCCAAAAAAUCCUCAAAAAAUCCCCAAAAAAUCCCAAAAAAAUUCCCAAAUAAUCCCCCAAAAAUUCCCAAAAAUUCCCAAAAAUCCCCAAAAAUCCCAAAAAAAUUCCCAAAAAAUCCCCCAAAAUUCCCCAAAAAUUCCCAAAAAAUCCCCAAAAAUCCCCAAAAAAUCCCAAAAAAUCCCCAAAAAAUCCCAAAAAAAUCCCAAAAUUUCCCCAAAAAAACACCAAAAAAAUCCCAAAAAAUCCCCAAAAAAUCAAAAAAAAAUCCCCAAAAAAUCCCCAAAAAAUUCCCAAAAAUCCCCAAAAAAUCCAAAAAAAUCCCCAAAAAAUUCCAAAAAAUCCCCAAAAAAUCCCCAAAAAAUCCCCAAAAAAUCCCCAAAAAUCCCCAAAAAUCCCCAAAAAAUCCCAAAAAAUUCCCAAAAUUCCCAAAUUUUCCCAAAAUCCCCCCAAUUCCCGCCUUCCCCUCCCCCUCACCUGGCACUCCGGGCUCUCCCAAAAAUCCCAUAAAAAACCCCCCAAAAAAUCCCCAAAAAAUCCCCCAAAAAAUCCCAAAAAAUCCACAAAAAAUCCCAUAA
RNAcentral lists this long non-coding RNA (1266 nucleotides) under Cyanistes caeruleus (blue tit). RNAcentral's name for it is "lncRNA (ENSCCEG00000000430.1)". Lineage: Eukaryota; Metazoa; Chordata; Aves; Passeriformes; Paridae. The record is from RNAcentral.